RNAcentral lists this microRNA precursor (65 nucleotides) under Operophtera brumata (winter moth). Its description in RNAcentral is "mir-2 microRNA precursor family". It matches the Rfam family "mir-2 microRNA precursor family". Rfam says of the family: The miRNAs are transcribed as ~70nt precursors (modelled here) and subsequently processed by the Dicer enzyme to give a ~22nt product. Lineage: Eukaryota; Metazoa; Arthropoda; Insecta; Lepidoptera; Geometridae. The record is from Rfam by way of RNAcentral.
CCAUUCGUGAAAAUGGUUGUGCAGUGUUGUUCUAGUCAUAUCACAGCCAUUUUUGACGAGUCGGG